Molecule: long non-coding RNA, 1860 nt
Organism: Populus nigra (black poplar)
Lineage: Eukaryota; Viridiplantae; Streptophyta; Magnoliopsida; Malpighiales; Salicaceae
Exons: 5
Source: RefSeq, a predicted model, not a curated record
UUAGAUAUUUUAUUUAUAAUAUACAGAAAAAACUAAAACGUGGGGCAAAAAUACUGUGGACUUGUUGUAGCCAGAUUUUAGUCACUGCAUUCUUUCCAUCUUUCUCUUUCGUUUUCCGCUCUUUCGUUUUCUCUUUUCUACUUCCAGCCAUUACCUCCCCUUAAUUCAGCCUUCAACAACACGCAGAACAAAACCCCCCUGGUUUUUUGUGAGGAAAAAAAGAGGAGUUUUUUGGGAGAGAAACGAAGAGAGAAGACAACACAACAACCGGUAGCUGCCAUUGAUGUGAAGGAAUCGACGGUGGAUCCUUUCUUGGUUGAGGCCUUACAGAACCACAUCUUCCUCACACCAGAGCUUUGACUAAACUGGUAUGUUUAUGGAACUUAUAACUGGGUUUAUUUAUGGAAGACUUGGAGUGGGUUUUUUAAAGGGACAGACCAAGUGUGCGAAUGAGCAGCUUUGACAAUUCCGAAUCUUCAUCGAUUACAGUUCUCCCAAUCUCAACUUCCAGCUCAUCCAUUCCGAAGGCUUUUGUUGUAGACAAGCCCACGUUCAGCCAGAUAAGUUGCUUUUAAAACAUGGUUUGCUUUGUGCUGGUUUGGUUUGCCUUUUUAAUCAUUAUGGGUCUUCAGAUUAUGAUUUUAUCUGGAUUUGCAUGUUAGUUGUUUUUUUUUUGUUUCCAUUUGUAUGUUUUCUCUCUUUUUUUGGUUCUUUUUACUGUUUAAUGGUUUGUUCUGCUUUUUUUGUUGUUUGGAUUAGUUGCAGUUCUGAUUCUAAUGGUUCUGUUUGUCCUUCUAAGUCUCUUCCUUGACAAUAGAGGUGUCUGUCUUGCUAUCAAGGUUCUUAGUUGCUUCCGAGGUCUAUUUUGCGACUUUGUUCCUGUUCAUGUUGGUUUUUAAGUGUUCUCUGUCCUGUGGAUAUCAACUUCUUUUUUUUCUAUUUGUUUUCCAGCUCUUUUUUUGGGUUGUUUCAUGUUUCGCUCCUAUUGGUAGGUUGGGCAGGUGGUUGGUUGUUCUGAUUCUCAUCUUUUUUUCUCCUUCCUUCUCAGCCUCGAGCUUUUGCAGGGAGGAGGCUGUGUUGUUAUAAGGAUCAUUGGUGCAUUUUGGAGUUACAAUUGAUUUUAGAACGUUCUUCUUUGGUGCUCUCAAUUGACAGGUUGGCUGUCGUGUGCUUAGACAGUAUGUAAGGUUGAUCUGAUGAUAUUUGCUUGAAAAGAAAAGGGAGGGAAACAUUUGGCAGAGUGCAGACUUAGAACAGCUUUUGGUUGGGGUGGGGGGAAGGAAUUCAGAUUCUUCUUGUUGCUUUAAGUUGGUCAGCUAUAGAGGGAUAGAUACAAAGUGGGGCGGGUCAAAUGAUAGAUUAGCUCAUAAAGCAUGAAACCGUUUUAUAAUGAUUAAUUUAAAGCAGUUCUUAGUUUUCGUUCAAGCCAAAGAUAACGCUAUUGCAGAUACUUAUUUUGGAGAUGCAUUUAAGGCGUAAAUGGUGCUUUGUUUGUCAUGGUUUCAGGUUACGUGAAAUGCAGCCCGGUAAAGCAGCGUGACCUAUUUCUCUUUCUUUGUGUUCCAAUUUUUUGUGUGGUUGGAUUUGCAAUUCCAGGAACAAUUAGCGUUAAGCCACACGGCUUUGCAGUCUAGAGACUUUCAUGAAGGGCUUUGAGUGUGUUUUUUUCUACCCUGUCCUUUGAGAAGCCUUUCUCAAGACGUCUGCUGCUGCUUCGUCUCAAGCCUGCACACACCAUCAUCUUGGCAAAUCUUUUUCCCUUUUCCCUUUGUGCUAAUAAGACUAUCUAUGCUACCUAAGAACAUGCCAUGUUAUUUAAGAGCCAUUGUUGCUGUCGUUUGAAGUUAGAUCUUCCUGGAA